UAAGUGCUUCCAUGUUUUGG
Molecule: microRNA, 20 nt
Filed under: Monodelphis domestica (gray short-tailed opossum)
Lineage: Eukaryota; Metazoa; Chordata; Mammalia; Didelphimorphia; Didelphidae
Description: mdo-miR-302b
Gene: mdo-miR-302b
Source: miRBase by way of RNAcentral